This is a non-coding RNA of Streptomyces xiamenensis, 138 nucleotides long. NCBI's taxonomy places the organism in Bacteria, Bacillati, Actinomycetota, Actinomycetes, Kitasatosporales, Streptomycetaceae. The record is from Rfam.
AGAUUCCGUCUUUCGGGGGAUCCAUAACUUCAUGCGUUGACGACCGAGGGAAGCCGGUGCGAAUCCGGCACUGACCUGCAACCGUGUGCGACGUUCCGCGUCGCGAGUCGGAUCACUCGGCUCGCCGGCGUGAACACC